ACAAUUAAUUCCUCAUACAACCUACCGGUGAAAGGGGGCGCAGGCUCUUGCUAUCUCAUGANCCUAAAUCAGACUAGCUAGUUUGGUGGUGUAAAGGCCACCAGGCUACCAUCUGAAACUGUACUGAGAUGAUGAUAAAUCACACCCAACCUGACUCACACUCCGGACUCCUACAGAAUGCUACAGUGGGCAAUAUUGGACAAUGUUGGCAACCGUGAUCCAGCCUUGCCGCGUGUGUGAAGAAGGCCUAUUAGUUGUAGCAUUU
RNAcentral lists this ribosomal RNA (265 nucleotides) under Vibrio sp. I6E5. RNAcentral describes it as "partial 16S ribosomal RNA". It matches the Rfam family "Bacterial small subunit ribosomal RNA", at positions 159 to 435 of the family's 1533-position model. Lineage: Bacteria; Pseudomonadati; Pseudomonadota; Gammaproteobacteria; Vibrionales; Vibrionaceae. The record is from RNAcentral.